Molecule: ribosomal RNA, 300 nt
Filed under: uncultured Pseudomonas sp.
Lineage: Bacteria; Pseudomonadati; Pseudomonadota; Gammaproteobacteria; Pseudomonadales; Pseudomonadaceae
Description: bacterial SSU rRNA
Rfam family: Bacterial small subunit ribosomal RNA
Source: RNAcentral
GCUAACUCUGUGCCAGCAGCCGCGGUAAUACAGAGGGUGCAAGCGUUAAUCGGAAUUACUGGGCGUAAAGCGCGCGUAGGUGGUUUGUUAAGUUGGAUGUGAAAGCCCCGGGCUCAACCUGGGAACUGCAUCCAAAACUGGCAGGCUAGAGUACGGUAGAGGGUGGUGGAAUUUCCUGUGUAGCGGUGAAAUGCGUAGAUAUAGGAAGGAACACCAGUGGCGAAGGCGACCACCUGGACUGAUACUGACACUGAGGUGCGAAAGCGUGGGGAGCAAACAGGAUUAGAUACCCCUGUAGUC